AAGCCAUACACCGAAGCUUAGGGUGGCGAUAAUCCUUCGGGAUUACGCUGCGGUAGCGGAGCGUUCUGUAAGCUGAUGAAGCCAUACCCGUGAGGGGUGGUGGAGGUAUCAGAAGUGCGAAUGCUGACAUGAGUAACGUAAGGGGAGUGAGAGACUCCCCCGCCGAAAGUCCAAGGGUUCCUGCUUAAAGCUAAUCUGAGCAGGGUUAGCCGGCCCCUAAGUCGAGGCAGAAAUGCGUAGACGAUGGGAACCACGUUAAUAUUCGUGGGCCUGGAGGAAGUGACGGAUCAUUGAGGUAGUCCAAUCUUAUCGGAUUGAAAGGGCUGCUGCGUGGUUCCAGGAAAUAGCUCCUCCUUAUAGACCGUACCCGAAACCGACACUGGUGGACUGGUAGAGUAUACCAAGGCGCUUGAGAGAACUAUGCUGAAGGAACUCGGCAAAUUGCACGCGUAACUUCGGAAGAAGCGUGACCCUUUUCCACGCAAGUGGAGGAGGGUGGCACAGACCAGGGGGUAGCGACUGUUUAUCAAAAACACAGGGCUCUGCGAAGUCGCAAGACGACGUAUAGGGUCUGACGCCUGCCCGGUGCUGGAAGGUUAAGAGGAGGGGUGCAAGCUCUGAAUCGAAGCCCCAGUAAACGGCGGCCGUAACUAUAACGGUCCUAAGGUAGCGAAAUUCCUUGUCGGGUAAGUUCCGACCUGCACGAAUGGCGUAACGACUUCCCCGCUGUCUCCAGCAUAGACUCAGUGAAAUUGAAUUCCCCGUGAAGAUGCGGGGUUCCUGCGGUUAGACGGAAAGACCCCGUGCACCUUUACUAUAGCUUUACAUUGGCAUUCGUAGUGGCAUGUGUAGGAUAGGUGGUAGGCUUUGAAACCUGGGCGCCAGCUCAGGUGGAGCCACCCUUGAAAUACCACCCUUAUCACUAUGGAUGUCUAACCGCGGCCCGU
RNAcentral lists this ribosomal RNA (947 nucleotides) under Mesorhizobium sp. RNAcentral describes it as "partial 23S ribosomal RNA". It matches the Rfam family "Bacterial large subunit ribosomal RNA", at positions 1184 to 2236 of the family's 2925-position model. The record is from RNAcentral. Lineage: Bacteria; Pseudomonadati; Pseudomonadota; Alphaproteobacteria; Hyphomicrobiales; Phyllobacteriaceae.